GAAAGAAUACGAAAACUAAUACCCGACAUUGAAGCCAUAGCUAUUUCUGCCUUGGAUUCAUUGGCCGGAGGCCUAGUCAUUUCCACCUUUCAUGAGAUGAAGAAGGUUUGUAUUAGGAGCUAGAGAUGUUAUAUAUAAAGCUUAUAAUUAGGCUAUAAGUUUGCAGACAUAUUUGUAAUGUGAAGAUCACGUUGCUAAUAAGUUGUUUUGGCUUAUAGAAGUAUUGCCAUUUAAUCAAACUCAGUUUGUUACUUUAUUGUCCUAUUCCUCCACUCUUAUUAUAUUGAGUGUCUCAGAUUUUGUUUUUAUUGAUGGCCUUCGUAGCUAUUGUCUGCUCAUUUUAAUUUUUUAAUGAUAAAAGGGAACAAGUUUGUUCUUCAUGGGUCCUCCACUUUUUGUUAGAGGUAACGAUUUUUUUUACUAAUAUGUGGUUUUCCUUUAACUUCCACAGUUCUCUUUUGAUGUUGGAAUUCUCUCAAUCUUUGGUCAUUUGGAUAGCACCUAUAGAGAGAAGCUGAAAGAGAACUACCAAAUAGUAGAUAAAGGGUACAAUUCUUUCCCUACGAAUAUUCCAGGAACUUCAUAUCACAAAGCACUCUUGGUAAGUUUCCUUUAUUGCUUUAUUUUGUUCUUAGAAAUUUAUGAUUUGAGGCAUUUGAAUCAGUCCAUUUUGUUUAUUACCUUGUUGUUUCCGGUAAAAUUUCUGAAAUAUACAGGCAAGAAGAAGACUUAAUCAGAUUCUAACUGAGAUCAUAAGAGGGAGGAAGGAGAAAAGGCUGGUAGAGAGUGAUCUUUUGGAUCAUUUGUUGAGCUUUCAAGAUGAAGGGGGGAAAAUUUUAUCAGAUGAUCAGAUUGCUGAUAACAUCAUUGGAGUUCUUUUUGCUGCUCAGGACACAACAGCUAGUGUUUUAACAUGGAUUAUCAAGUACCUAAAUGAUGACCAAAAGCUUCUAGAAGCCGUUAAGGUAAUAUGUUUUCAUGUUAGAUCAAUAAUAUAGGCAUAUAACAUUCAAUGAUCAAGUUGUUCUGAACUGAAAAUGGAUAUUUUUAUACUACAGGCAGAACAAAAGGCCAUAUAUGAAUCAAACGACAGAGGAAGAAAGCCAUUGUCAUGGGCACAGACAAGGAAUAUGCCACUUACAAAUAAGGUAUAUAACAUGUACAACUCAUCAAGUGUCCUUUGUCAAGCAACUUCUAUAGAGAGAUAGUUUCUGAUCAACUGGAUGUGAUCGUACUUUCAGGUUAUAAUGGAGAGCUUGAGGAUGGCAAGCAUCAUUUCCUUCACAUUUAGGGAAGCAGUGGUUGAUGUAGAAUACAAAGGUAAAGGCUUCAAACGAGUCAGUCUUUUUUACGUUACCAACAUCUAAGAGGCUUUUCGUUCUUAUAAUCCUUAAAUGUCCCCCAAAAUGUACAGGAUACUUAAUACCUAAGGGCUGGAAAGUGAUGCCACUCUUCCGGAAUAUUCAUCACAGUCCAGAAUUCUUCUCCGAUCCUCAAAAGUUUGACCCGUCUAGAUUCAAGGUGCUCAAUACUAUAAUAAUUAUUCUACUUUCUAUUAAUUUUAGCUAUUAAAGAUGGAAUAUUGACUACGCCUUCAAAAACACCGAGAUUCACUGUCACCAGUGUUAAUAAAUUUACUGACUGUGGUUUUUGGUGAAAGCAGGUACCUCCCAAGCCCAAUACCUUUAUGCCAUUUGGCAACGGCGUUCAUGCCUGCCCUGGUAAUGAGCUUGCCAAGCUGGAGAUGCUCAUUUUGAUCCACCAUUU
This 1767-nucleotide long non-coding RNA is filed under the name Carica papaya (papaya). Its description in RNAcentral is "long non-coding RNA (CPAP_LNC008148)". Lineage: Eukaryota; Viridiplantae; Streptophyta; Magnoliopsida; Brassicales; Caricaceae. The record is from RNAcentral.